CCUCCCGGUGCCACCCUUGGGUGCCCGCAGGGGACCUGGCGCUGCUGCUGCGGGCGGGCGCUGCCCCGCGCUCGCUGCUGCUCCUCUCGCUGCUCUCGGCGCUGCUCUCGGCCCUGGGGGCGCUGGCGGGGGUCGCCCUGGGGGGCAGCGGGACCCCCCUCGCCCCCUGGCUCCUCACCGCCACCGCCGGGGUCUUCCUCUACGUGGCCCUGACCGACAUGCUCCCCGAGGCGCUGCGGGGCUCGGCCGGGGGCUCCUGGGGCCGCUUCGCGCUGCAGAACUCGGGGUUCCUGCUGGGGGCGGGCACCAUGCUGGGCAUCGCCCUGGCCGAGGGGCACCUGCGCUCCUGGCUGCGAACCUGAGACCCCCCCGGACCCCCGGGACACCCCCCGGGACCCCCCCGGGACACCCCCGGGACCCCCGCCCGGACCCCCGCCUUGGAUAUCCCUCCCCCGUUCUCCAGAAUUCCCGGGGGGAUCCGCGGUGCCGCCCCCCGGAGGGGAUUUGGGGUCCCCUCGUUCCCCCAGGGAGGAUUUGGGGUCCCCUCAUUCCCCCCCGGGAGGAUUUGGGGUCCCCUCGUUCCCGAUUUGGGGUCCCCUCGCUGCCCCCCGGGAGGAUUUGGGGUCCCCUCAUUCCCAAUUUGGGGUCCCAUCGUUCCCGAUUUGGGGUCCCCUCGCUGCCCCCCGGGAUCCCCCUGAGGAGCUCAGGAAGGGGAACAACCCCAAAGCAAAAUUGGUUUAAUAACCGGAAUUGGUUUAAUAAACAAAAUUGGUUUAAUGACCAGAUUUGGUUUAAUAACCAGAAUUGCUUCAAUAACCAAAACUGGUUUAAUAACCAAAACUGGUUUAAUUACCAGAUUUGUUUAAUAACCAGAAUUGGUUUAAUAACCAGAACUGGUUUAAUAACCAGAAUUGAGCCAGAACCGCAAUAAAACCCCGGGAUUUGCUCACAGUUACAGGGGGGGGAAAUAAAUCAACUUUGAACGGUUUUGCCGCGUUUUUUUGGGGGGUUUUCCCUCCUUUUUAAGAAUUAAACGAAGCAGAAUUUCCAGAAAUUCCGACCUGGGACAUCGGAGAGAAAAUUGGGAUUUUUGGGGUUCUCUGGAACCCCUCAAGAUUCUGGGACCCCUCACGGUUUUGGGACUUUUUAAGGUUUUGGGGUUCCCCAGGAGGGUCUGGGACCCCUCAGGAUUCCGGGACACCUCAAGAUUUUGGGACCCCCCAAAAGUUAAAUUUUGGGACCCCCCUCAGGGGGUCCUGGGACCCCUCAAGAUUUUGGGACCCCUGAAGGUUUUUGGGACC
Molecule: long non-coding RNA, 1301 nt
Filed under: Taeniopygia guttata (zebra finch)
Lineage: Eukaryota; Metazoa; Chordata; Aves; Passeriformes; Estrildidae
Description: lncRNA (ENSTGUG00000021198.1)
Source: RNAcentral